AUUGAACGCUGGCGGCAUGCCUUACACAUGCAAGUCGAACGGUAACAGGUUAAGCUGACGAGUGGCGAACGGGUGAGUAAUAUAUCGGAACGUGCCCAGCCGUGGGGGAUAACGUAGCGAAAGCUACGCUAAUACCGCAUACGAUCUACGGAUGAAAGCGGGGGAUCGCGAGACCUCGCGCGAUUGGAGCGGCCGAUAUCAGAUUAGGUUGUUGGGGAGGUAAAAGCUCACCAAGCCUGCGAUCUGUAGCUGGUCUGAGAGGACGACAAGCCCCACGGGAACUGAGACACGGUCAAGACUCCUACGGGAGGCAGCAGUGGGUAAUGUUGGACAAUUGACGCAAGUCUGCUCCAGCAAUGCCGCGUGCAGGACGAAGGCCUUCGGGUUGUGAACUGCUUUUGUACGGAACGAAACGGUGAGCUCUAAUACAGUUUGCUAAUGACGGUACCGUAAGAAUAAGCACCGGCUAACUACGUGCCAGCCGCCGCAGUAA
This 493-nucleotide ribosomal RNA is filed under the name uncultured bacterium. Its description in RNAcentral is "partial 16S ribosomal RNA". It matches the Rfam family "Bacterial small subunit ribosomal RNA", at positions 30 to 523 of the family's 1533-position model. The record is from RNAcentral.